UUAUUUACCAAUAAAUUGCAAAGCAGCAUGACUAAGGUAUAACCCAAAAGAAUACAAGAAACACCUCAACGUUCUUAACAAAUAUGGAAACAAAAUUCAAAAUGGGUUCAACAAGUAACUUCAACAGAAUAAAAGCAAACAAGGAAUUUAACCAUUACCAAAGCGAUUAUAAGGUAAAAAUCGGACCUAUUGUAUAAAUGAACGGGGGUUGGAACAAUAAGCUUAGCAAUUUGGCGGUUCUGGGUUGGAUCUUUCGUCGAUAACUAUGAACAGAUCAGACGGCUGGACACCUCAAUGGCAACCUCGGACGGACUCGCCGGCGACCUCAAUUUCCAAAUGAUCAAAGCAAUUAUAACGCAAAAAUUGGACCUCUUGUAUACAUGAACGGGGUUUGGAACUACAAGCUUAGCAAUUUGGCGGUUCUGGGUUGGAUCUUUCGCCGAUAACUAUGAACAGAUCAGACGGCUGGACACCUUAGCGGCAACCUCGGACGGACUCGCCGGCGACCUCAAUUUCCAAAUGAUACCAAAACGAAACCAUGUGAUGAAUUCCAAAUUCAAUAAGAAAAUCUAUGAGAUUAGAAAGCAGAAUAAUCGGAAGGGGUGAGAUCUGGUGGAGGUUCCUUGAAGAGGGGUUUGCGGCUAAUUUGGGCUUUUGGUGUAUUGGGGAUAACAAGGUGUCAUUAGCUUGAAGUCUUGAAUAAAGGAUGAAAUCACGUUACAUUCAGUGAGCAAAACCUUGGAUUUUUUCGGAAAUUUCAUUGAAUAAAAAUGGAAAUCC
RNAcentral lists this long non-coding RNA (780 nucleotides) under Nicotiana benthamiana. Its description in RNAcentral is "long non-coding RNA (NBEN_LNC021222)". Lineage: Eukaryota; Viridiplantae; Streptophyta; Magnoliopsida; Solanales; Solanaceae. The record is from RNAcentral.